RNAcentral lists this unclassified non-coding RNA (342 nucleotides) under soil metagenome. Its description in RNAcentral is "partial contains 5.8S ribosomal RNA, internal transcribed spacer 2, and large subunit ribosomal RNA". The stretch from base 1 to 120 matches the Rfam family "5.8S ribosomal RNA", at positions 35 to 154 of the family's 154-position model. The record is from RNAcentral.
GAUGAAGAACGCAGCGAAAUGCGAUAAGUAGUGUGAAUUGCAGAAUUCAGUGAAUCAUCGAAUCUUUGAACGCACAUUGCGGCCAUAGGUAUUCCUUUGGCCAUGCCUGUUCGAGCGUCAUUUACACCCUCAAGCCUAGCUUGGUGUUGGGCGCCUGUCCCGCCGUUUUCGCGCGCGGACUCGCCUCAAAGUCAUUGGCGGCGGCCGUGCCGGCCCCCUCGCGCAGCACAUUUGCGCUUCUCGGAGGCCCGGCGGAUCCGCGCUCCAGCAAGACCUUUCACGACUUGACCUCGGAUCAGGUAGGGAUACCCGCUGAACUUAAGCAUAUCAAUAAGCGGAGGA